This is a long non-coding RNA of Gordionus sp. m RMFG-2023, 778 nucleotides long. RefSeq lists it as uncharacterized. The transcript is spliced from 4 exons. The record is from RefSeq and is a predicted model, not a curated record. NCBI's taxonomy places the organism in Eukaryota, Metazoa, Nematomorpha, Gordioida, Chordodea, Parachordodidae.
AUAUAAUUUUUUUUGCGCAUUUCCUAAUUAUUAUUUCAAAAGUUUUGAUUUAUAUAUUACAAUAAAAUGGUGUAUAACUAUGACUCUUGAGUAGUUGGAUAAUAAGCAACGUAGAAAUUUGCUAAAAAAAUCUUCAAAUUAACUUCCAUGACAUAUUUGGAAAUUUACAAGAUCUUGAUAGGUAAUUUUUUAAAAAUAUGAUGCAAAAAUUGCUCAUGAAAAUAUAUGAUAUUUGCUAGAUAAUAUUAUAUAUACUUUGCAAUAUUCAAGAAAUGUGUUAAAGGGGUCUAUAUCAAAAAUACAUUUUAUUAGAUUUCCAUGCAUAUAAAAAUGAACAAAUGGAUUUACUUUCCCUAUGAUAAACUCAUAAUAACUGGUAAUAUAAAAGAUUUUGAAAGGUAUUUUAAACAUAAUAUAAAAAUGACACAUGAAAAUAUUUGAUUCAUAACAUUGUAAUGUGAUAAUUUGGAAUAUAGAUAACUUUAAAGCCUUAAAGAAAAUUGUUAAUAAACAGGUCUUUAUCAAAAAUGUUUCUUAGGCAUAUUAGCUAUAUGGAAAAAUGAUGUAUAUAUAUUUAUAUUGUUACAUUUAAUUUUAGAUUGCUUGGCUUCCAAUGGAAACAAUUAUAUUUACUUUCCCAGUAGGUAACAAUUACAAUAGAACCUUUCCAAAAACAAAUUUUCAAAAAUUAAAAGGGAUAACUAGUUAUCCCUUUUGAAAAUAGCUAAUCAUGUUAAAAAUUAUUUUGUAAAUUUAUUAUAUAACUCAUUAUUUUGAA